UACGUAGGGUGCAAGCGUUAAUCGGAAUUACUGGGCGUAAAGCGUGCGCAGGCGGUUUUGUAAGUCUGUCGUGAAAGCCCCGGGCUCAACCUGGGAAUUGCGAUGGAGACUGCAAGGCUAGAAUCUGGCAGAGGGGGGUAGAAUUCCACGUGUAGCAGUGAAAUGCGUAGAGAUGUGGAGGAACACCGAUGGCGAAGGCAGCCCCCUGGGUCAAGAUUGACGCUCAUGCGCGAAAGCGUGGGGAGCAAACAGG
RNAcentral lists this ribosomal RNA (253 nucleotides) under uncultured bacterium. Its description in RNAcentral is "partial 16S ribosomal RNA". It matches the Rfam family "Bacterial small subunit ribosomal RNA", at positions 524 to 776 of the family's 1533-position model. The record is from RNAcentral.